Molecule: long non-coding RNA, 146 nt
Organism: Micropterus salmoides (largemouth bass)
Lineage: Eukaryota; Metazoa; Chordata; Actinopteri; Centrarchiformes; Centrarchidae
Exons: 3
Source: RefSeq, a predicted model, not a curated record
AGGGGCGAGCCAGGCUGUUGCGGGGAAGCUGGCCCUUGCGGAGCCGGGCCCUAGGGCGAGCCAGGCUGUUGCGGGGAUGAAGGCCCUUGCGACGACCCAGGCUGUUGCGGAGAUGAAGGCCCUUGCGGUGACCCAGGCUGUUGCGG